This 1069-nucleotide long non-coding RNA is filed under the name Volvox carteri. Its description in RNAcentral is "long non-coding RNA (VCAR_LNC001797)". The record is from RNAcentral. Lineage: Eukaryota; Viridiplantae; Chlorophyta; Chlorophyceae; Chlamydomonadales; Volvocaceae.
GUGGCAAGGUGGUACAUGUACAGGAGGAUACUCUCCGGUGGCAGGGUGGUACAAGAGGGUACUAUCUGGUGGCAGGGUGGUACAGGAGGGUACUCUCCGGUGGCAGGGUGGUAAGCUCUCGUUUUACAGCAGCCAAGCAGGCCAAGAGAUAGGUACUUAUUGCUUAUUCCUUGCGUGUGUGAUGCCAGCAUUAGAGACCUUAAGGUUGAAAUGGCGAAGGAUGCUUCCUGUAGGUUGCUAAAGUUUACAUUUCAAAAAGUAUCCUGAAGCGGAAUUUAUGAUGUGGGAAGCAUAUAAGACGAGUAGCCUAUAGGCCCAUACAUAUGUCCAUAGUCCAGGGCAACGGAGGGGUUUACCCUGGGGCCGUGUCACCCUCCUGCUGGGUAGGAACUUACAAGGGGGUUACCAAAGGGCUACCGGGGGUUGGGGUAACCCAUGGGUAACCCAUGGGUUACUGACCCAAUCAGUGCCUUAGGGAUAGCUGUAGGGCACCCUGCAUUAAUCUCUAAAUUCCAUGACAUCUUGCUCCCAUUAAGACAUGUCUUAAUAUUGAGAUGUACAUCUCAACAGUGAUUCCCUUUGUAGCAGCCGACCGCUGAAAAGGUCUCUCGAGUUGCUGGCGGUCGCGCUCUGCGCGUAUUUAUAGCACCGUACUGUGUACCGGUUGCUAUAUUCCCCCCCCUUUGAAGGGAACCGUCCCGGGCCCUUAGAGCCUCGUAUACCGCCAGCCUGUGCCUACCUUCGCCUACCCUCGGGCAGUGGGUAAUUACUCCACGUCACGUCAUGUGCCGGCUCACAUGCGCCUAGCCGUCUUCAGAUUUUUCAGGCACAGAGACAGUCCAGUCGGUUCAGCUACUUUAAAGUUUGUGCGAUAUUCGCUCUCUGAGUCGCCAAACCCGAUUUCCACUCAAGCGUGAUUGGUGGGGGUUGAACCGACGACUUCAGGAUCGUGAAUUUUCACGAGGUCUCGAUACCAAAUGUAGCAGCCGACCGCUGAAAAGGUCUCUCGAGUUGCUGGCGGUCGCGCUCUGCGCGUAUUUAUAGCACCGUACUGUGUACCGGUUGCUAU